Molecule: ribosomal RNA, 250 nt
Filed under: uncultured archaeon
Lineage: Archaea
Description: partial 16S ribosomal RNA
Rfam family: Bacterial small subunit ribosomal RNA
Source: RNAcentral
UACGAAGGGGGCUAGCGUUGUUCGGAAUUACUGGGCGUAAAGCGCACGUAGGCGGAUUUGUUAGUCAGGGGUGAAAUCCCGGGGCUCAACCUCGGAACUGCCUUUGAUACUGCAAGUCUUGAGUCCGGAAGAGGUGAGUGGAAUUCCUAGUGUAGAGGUGAAAUUCGUAGAUAUUAGGAAGAACACCAGUGGCGAAGGCGGCUCACUGGUCCGGUACUGACGCUGAGGUGCGAAAGCGUGGGGAGCAAAC